RNAcentral lists this transfer RNA (85 nucleotides) under Felis catus (domestic cat). It matches the Rfam family "tRNA". From Rfam's summary of the family: Transfer RNA (tRNA) molecules are approximately 80 nucleotides in length. Their secondary structure includes four short double-helical elements and three loops (D, anti-codon, and T loops). Lineage: Eukaryota; Metazoa; Chordata; Mammalia; Carnivora; Felidae. The record is from Rfam by way of RNAcentral. RNAcentral also lists the same sequence under 2 other names.
GCCUGGGUGGCUCAGUUGGUUGAGCAUCUGACUUCAGCUCAGGUCAUGAUCUCGCAGUUUGUGAGUUCGAGCCCUGCGUCAGGCU